AUCCUGGCUCAGGAUGAAACGCUAGCUACAGGCUUAACACAUGCAAGUCGAGGGGCAGCAUGUUGUCAGCUUGCUGACAAUGAUGGCGACCGGCGCACGGGUGAGUAACGCGUAUCCAACCUGCCCAUUACCGGGGUAUAACCCGUUGAAAGACGGACUAAUCCCCCAUGCUGCCGUCCGAUGGCAUCAGAAGACGGCGAAAGGUUUUUCCGGUAAUGGAUGGGGAUGCGUCCGAUUAGCUUGUUGGUGGGGUAACGGCCCACCAAGGCGACGAUCGGUAGGGGUUCUGAGAGGAAGGUCCCCCACACUGGUACUGAGACACGGACCAGACUCCUACGGGAGGCAGCAGUGAGGAAUAUUGGUCAAUGGGCGCAAGCCUGAACCAGCCAAGUAGCGUGCAGGAUGACGGCCCUAUGGGUUGUAAACUGCUUUUAUGCGGGGAUAAAGUGCGCCACGUGUGGUGUAUUGCAGGUACCGCAUGAAUAAGGACCGGCUAAUUCCGUGCC
Molecule: ribosomal RNA, 506 nt
Filed under: uncultured bacterium
Lineage: Bacteria
Description: bacterial SSU rRNA
Rfam family: Bacterial small subunit ribosomal RNA
Source: RNAcentral